This 55-nucleotide small nucleolar RNA is filed under the name Candidatus Aramenus sulfurataquae. Its description in RNAcentral is "Sulfolobales archaeon AZ1 Small nucleolar RNA sR33". It matches the Rfam family "Small nucleolar RNA sR33". Lineage: Archaea; Thermoproteati; Thermoproteota; Thermoprotei; Sulfolobales; Sulfolobaceae. The record is from Rfam by way of RNAcentral.
UUGAAUGAUGUGGAAUCCGGGAACUGAACAGUGAGGAGAAACACGAACACUGAUU